Long non-coding RNA from Carassius auratus (goldfish), 432 nucleotides. RefSeq lists it as uncharacterized. The record is from RefSeq and is a predicted model, not a curated record. NCBI's taxonomy places the organism in Eukaryota, Metazoa, Chordata, Actinopteri, Cypriniformes, Cyprinidae. The transcript is spliced from 2 exons.
UCCUCCUGGAUUCCCUGGGCGCAGACGAAUGGGUAGAAUAAACCACGGUGCAGGUCCCACCCCUCCUCCUAUGGGUGGAGGAGGAUGAGGAAGGUAAACACCUGCACAACGAUGCAGGCGCACAGGGGUGAGACACCCUGGUUUUAGGCUGCAUACUGCGCUCAGAUAGGGCUCCGUUGCAGACAUGCACUCAGUACGUCACACUCCUCUUCCCACGGCUGCCGCUGCUUUCAAGCAGUUUCUUGACGUUACUCUGGGAAUUCCUCGUCUGAGGGCCAGACUGACUGAUCAUGGCAGCCAAACCCCAGCUGCCAUCAUAAAAAAACCCAGGACUCUCUCACACUUUUUUUAUUAUUAAUAUAUCUUCUGAAAUAUAUUUUGUAGUAGAUGUUGAAUGUACACUUUGCAUCAAUAAAGUAAGUUAUGAUGAUC